GUUCUGCAGUCAGUAGCUUGUCUCUCCUAACUUUUCUUGCUUUCACCGGAGACAGCACUAUGCAAUGCCUCACCUGCGUUUCACUUUCAAGUCUGGUGUGAUGUGGCCUAAUACCCUGUGAAGACUUUCCUUCCUGUGGAAAGACAUCCUUCAUCUUUAGCAGAUUUUGGAUCAAGACUCAGUUCCAGCUUUAGAUUGUCACAGAUGAGAGUUUGGAAGCCUUGUAUUUCUGCUGUCUGGAUAGAGAUUCCAAUCUUCGCCAUGCCAUGUCAUGCCAGAGUUUUGUGUAUGUUUGUGUACGUGUGUACAAGUACAUAAGCACUGACAUACUUGCUGGCAUUUUCAAAAGCGAAUCUGGAGUGCUGGCAGUCAGCUUCACUCUCCGCUCAAGUUUGGAUAUGGAUGAAAUUGAGCAGCUGAACUUCAUCUUUGGCAAUACUGAGACCAUGAAGUCUGUGUAUCUAGGUUGUGCCAGUUUCCAGGAUUCCCCUCCACCCCCAUCCCCGCCCCUCGCCCCGGUUCCUCGCACAGACGUGAGCAGCUGCAGCAAUGGAAGACUUCUUUGUAGAGGAGGCAGCUCCAGUGGAACAGCAGGUGUUGCUGUGAGCAGAGAGCUCUGUGUUCCUGAGAGGAUGGAAUUCAGCGGGAACGAAGGCAAGAAGGGAAGGAAUGUAGCCUGAGUUUUGCUGCUAUUUGCAAAACAUCAGCUGUAUUUGCAGUAUCAGAACCUGCUGCACUUUUCAAGUGAUCUUAAUCCAGAGAUAACAUUCAGGAAAUAACAGCUGGGAGGAAAUAGAUGCCAACAAAUAAACCUGUGGGUGCAAGAGAAACCUAUACA
RNAcentral lists this long non-coding RNA (838 nucleotides) under Anser brachyrhynchus (Pink-footed goose). RNAcentral describes it as "lncRNA (ENSABRG00000019958.1)". Lineage: Eukaryota; Metazoa; Chordata; Aves; Anseriformes; Anatidae. The record is from RNAcentral.